AGAGUGAACGCUGGCGGUAGGCCUAACACAUGCAAGUCGAACGGCAGCACGGUAAGAGCUUGCUCUUAUGGGUGGCGAGUGGCGGACGGGUGAGGAAUACAUCGGAAUCUACCUUUUGGUGGGGGAUAACGGUAGGGAAACUUACGCUAAUACCGCAUACGCCCUUCGGGGGAAAGCCGGGGACCAGCAAUGGCCUGGCGCUGAUAGAUGAGCCGAUGUCGGAUUAGCUAGUUGGUGAGUAAUGGCUCACCAAGGCGACGAUCCGUAGCUGGUCUAGAGGAGGAUGAUCAGCCACACUGGAACCUGGACGACGACGGUCAGACUCCGUACGGGAGCAGC
Molecule: ribosomal RNA, 339 nt
Filed under: uncultured soil bacterium
Lineage: Bacteria
Description: bacterial SSU rRNA
Rfam family: Bacterial small subunit ribosomal RNA
Source: RNAcentral